Molecule: ribosomal RNA, 229 nt
Filed under: uncultured bacterium
Lineage: Bacteria
Description: partial 16S ribosomal RNA
Rfam family: Bacterial small subunit ribosomal RNA
Source: RNAcentral
UGUGUAGGCGGAAGAUUAAGUCAGUGGUGAAAUCCUGCAGCUUAACUGUAGAACUGCCAUUGAAACUGAUUUUCUUGAGUACGGUUGAGGUAGGCGGAAUGUGUAAUGUAGCGGUGAAAUGCUUAGAUAUUACACAGAACACCGAUUGCGUAGGCAGCUUACUAAACUGGUACUGACGCUGAGGCACGAAAGCGUGGGGAGCGAACAGGAUUAGAUACCCUGGUAGUCC